Amphimedon queenslandica is the source of this 137-nucleotide long non-coding RNA. RefSeq lists it as uncharacterized. NCBI's taxonomy places the organism in Eukaryota, Metazoa, Porifera, Demospongiae, Haplosclerida, Niphatidae. The record is from RefSeq and is a predicted model, not a curated record. The transcript has 2 exons.
UUAGAAGAUUAGGAGGAAUCAUUGAAAUUAGAUGAAUCAUCAGUCAUUAAGAGACCAGUGCAUUGUACAUUUUUUACAGCUUAACAUUUAUUAUUAAAUUAUCCACUCAGUAUAGUCUUGACCUUUGCACUGAGAAA